This 482-nucleotide ribosomal RNA is filed under the name uncultured bacterium. RNAcentral describes it as "partial 16S ribosomal RNA". It matches the Rfam family "Bacterial small subunit ribosomal RNA", at positions 30 to 507 of the family's 1533-position model. The record is from RNAcentral.
AUUGAACGCUGGCGGCAUGCUUUACACAUGCGAGUCGAACGGUAACAGGCCGCCAGGUGCUGACGAGUGGCGAACGGGGGAGUAAUGCAUCGGAACGUGCCCAGUCGUGGGGGAUAACUACUCGAAAGAGUAGCUAAUACCGCAUACGAUCUAUGGAUGAAAGCGGGGGACCGUAAGGCCUCGCGCGAUUGGAGCGGCCGAUGUCAGAUUAGGUAGUUGGUGGGGUAAAGGCUCACCAAGCCAACGAUCUGUAGCUGGUCUGAGAGGGCGACCAGCCACACUGGGACUGGGACACGGCCCAGACUCCUACGGGAGGCAGCAGUGGGGAAUUUUGGACAAUGGGCGCAAGCCUGAUCCAGCAAUGCCGCGUGCAGGAAGAAGGCCUUCGGGUUGUAAACUGCUUUUGUACGGAACGAAACGGCUCUGGUUAAUACCCGGGGCUAAUGACGGUACCGUAAGAAUAAGCACCGGCUAACUACGUG